RNAcentral lists this ribosomal RNA (482 nucleotides) under uncultured bacterium. RNAcentral's name for it is "partial 16S ribosomal RNA". It matches the Rfam family "Bacterial small subunit ribosomal RNA", at positions 30 to 507 of the family's 1533-position model. The record is from RNAcentral.
AUUGAACGCUGGCGGCAUGCCUUACACAUGCAAGUCGAACGGUAACGGGCCUUCGGGUGCCGACGAGUGGCGCACGGGUGCGUAAUACAUCGGAACGUGCCCGAUCGUGGUGGAUCACGAGGCGAAAGCUUUGCUAAUACCGCAUACGAUCUACGGAUGAGAGCAGGGGACCGCAAGGCCUUGCGCGGACGGUGCGGCCGAUGGCAGAUUAGGUAGUUGGUGGGAUAAAAGCUUACCAAGCCGACGAUCUGUAGCUGGUCUGAGAGGAUGAUCAGCCACACUGGGACUGAGACACGGCCCAGACUCCUACGGGAGGCAGCAGUGGGGAAUUUUGGACAAUGGGCGCAAGCCUGAUCCAGCCAUGCCGCGUGCAGGAUGAAGGCCUUCGGGUUGUAAAAUGCUGUUGUACGGAACGAAAAGCCGUCUUUUAAUACAGGAGGGUCAUGACGGUACCGUAAGAAUAAGCACCGGCUAACUACGUG